UUUAAAAUCAUAUUUGUGAGAUAUUUGUCGUCAGGUAAUGUUUUUAUUAGUUAGAAAAGCCCCUGUUUUGAAUAGUGAUAAAACUGUAACUUAUAUGUGGAUAAUAUGGCUAAAAACGGCUAAGAAUGAUGGCAGCCGUCAGUUCAGUAACGUUAAUCUGUUAAGUUGAUUGUGCUCGGGGUUUUAACAAACUCAUUUAAGUUACAAUUGUCCUUUUACGCUCGUCAUUCCCAAUUAAAUGAUCAAUAAGACGUGUUAUAUGAAGAACAGCGUCGAAACGGGAGCUUGAAUGAAUGAAUCAUAUGCUGUCCGUUUUAUACAGUUGUAAUAGGUGCCGAAUUCUGCUUUUGUACUGGUUUUAGCUCAAACACUGAACGAACAGUCUCUUUUUGGUAACGUUAAUCCUAAUGAUCUUGAUUUGCUUGUUAAUGUGUGUUUUAUCAAGUUUCAGCAAACGUUUACAGAGUAACGUUAUGUGGUUCAUGCUGGCCACUGUUGAGACUGGUCUGCAUUAAAAAAAUUUUAAAGCCAAAACGUUUGAAAAAAAAAUCCACAGUUGAAACAUGAUGUGUUAAAUGACUUAUGAAGGAAAUUAAUAAGCUAAAAAAGAAGGCUAAGUGUGUUAUGAAAUAUUAAACCUUGUUAAAAAAUAAAAUCAAUUGUGUUAAAUAAGCUUAAAAUCCAUAUCUUAUGUUUUAUAUUACUUCAAAACAGCCUGGAAACUGAAUUGCACCAUUAAUCUUGUACUUAUGUAUCAAGUCCAAACAAAUGGUUUUGUGGCAAGUAAAAAUAAUAUUUUUAUAAAUUGAUUGUAUUGUAUUAAUUUGUUACAGAAAAGAAAGGAAUCAUGCAAGGAUGCAAGCUGAAGGAAAGGACAACUCUCACAUCAGUGCAUUACUAAUUGUUUGACUUCAUCAUCAAGCACACCAGCUCAGAUUGUGAUGGACCUGGAAUGCGACACCAGUUACUCUUAAGUCAAGAACCAAAUGAAGCACCAGAGUACAGAUUAUGGAGAUAUCUGAAGUUGAACUAACUGGAAGCAGGGAACCAUACUAAUAAAGUUCCUUAAGCAGGUUCCUUGUAAAGAUGAACCCAGGGAAGGAUCGAAAGUGGAGAAGACCAGAUCAAGAAAGACUACAUCAAGAUCUGCGGUCAGUUCAAAGGUACUUUCACUAAUUACCAAGAUUUCAGACUAUGAAUUGAUGGAGAGAACUUUGAGUGUCAGAUCUUCCUACAUCGCCUAGCAAAAAUUCUUCCCAGUGUCUUGUAGUAGAAGUGAUGCAGUCAAUCGAGUUUACAUUAUUUCGUAAAUUGCUUUCUGAUUUAAUAAAAAAUAUAUUAACCAAACUUGAUUAAUGUAACAAUUUUGAAGAAAAGGGCAUGUUUUACUAGAGCUUUUAGCACAAAGGCACCCCCAUCUUGGAAUAUUGCUGUGUCUGACGUCACGGGGUUGGUAUGCUGGAAACGUUUUUGAAUGAGGUAUUUGUAUGAUUUAUACAUAGUCUGUCUUAAAGCGUAACUAAAUUGUACAGGCAUUACAGGUCAAAGCAAUCUGUUGUUACAUUUAUCAUUAUAAACAAUAA
Non-coding RNA from Danio rerio (zebrafish), 1583 nucleotides. The record is from RefSeq and is a predicted model, not a curated record. NCBI's taxonomy places the organism in Eukaryota, Metazoa, Chordata, Actinopteri, Cypriniformes, Danionidae.